This 253-nucleotide ribosomal RNA is filed under the name uncultured bacterium. Its description in RNAcentral is "partial 16S ribosomal RNA". It matches the Rfam family "Bacterial small subunit ribosomal RNA", at positions 524 to 776 of the family's 1533-position model. The record is from RNAcentral.
UACGGAGGGUGCGAGCGUUGUUCGGAAUCACUGGGCGUAAAGGGCGCGCAGGCGGUUUUACAAGUCAGAUGUGAAAGCCCACGGCUUAACUGUGGAAGAGCAUUUGAAACUGUGAGACUUGAGUACCAGAGGGGAAGGUGGAAUUCCCGGUGUAGAGGUGAAAUUCGUAGAUAUCGGGAGGAAUACCGGUGGCGAAGGCGACCUUCUGGCUGGAUACUGACGCUGAGGCGCGAAAGCGUGGGGAGCAAACAGG